UACGCAGGGGGCAAGCGUUGUCCGGAUUUAUUGGGCGUAAAGAGCGUGUAGGCGGCUAUACAGGUCCGCUGUGAAAACUCGAGGCUCAACCUCGAGACGUCGGUGGAAACCGUAUGGCUAGAGUCCGGAAGAGGAGAGUGGAAUUCCUGGUGUAGCGGUGAAAUGCGCAGAUAUCAGGAAGAACACCCGUGGCGAAGGCGGCUCUCUGGGACGGUACUGACGCUGAGACGCGAAAGCGUGGGGAGCGAACAGG
Molecule: ribosomal RNA, 253 nt
Filed under: uncultured bacterium
Lineage: Bacteria
Description: partial 16S ribosomal RNA
Rfam family: Bacterial small subunit ribosomal RNA
Source: RNAcentral